RNAcentral lists this ribosomal RNA (537 nucleotides) under Bembradium roseum. RNAcentral describes it as "partial 16S ribosomal RNA". It matches the Rfam family "Bacterial large subunit ribosomal RNA", at positions 1852 to 2586 of the family's 2925-position model. Lineage: Eukaryota; Metazoa; Chordata; Actinopteri; Perciformes; Bembridae. The record is from RNAcentral.
GUCCCGCCUGCCCUGUGACAUAUAGUUUAACGGCCGCGGUAUUUUGACCGUGCGAAGGUAGCGCAAUCACUUGUCUUUUAAAUGGAGACCUGUAUGAAUGGCACAACGAGGGCUUAACUGUCUCCUCUUUCAAGUCAAUGAAAUUGAUCUUCCCGUGCAGAAGCGGGAAUUAAUACAUAAGACGAGAAGACCCUAUGGAGCUUUAGACACUAAAGCAGACCAUGUUAAACACCCCCAGACAAAGGGUUAAACCAAAUGAGUACUGCCCUAAUGUCUUUGGUUGGGGCGACCGCGGGGAAACAAAAAACCCCCCACGUGGAAUGGGAACACCUACUCCUACAAACAUGGGCUGCAGCCCUAGUUAACAGAACUUCUGACCCUUAAGAUCCGGCAAUGCCGAUCAACGAACCGAGUUACCCUAGGGAUAACAGCGCAAUCCCCUUUUAGAGCCCAUAUCGACAAGGGGGUUUACGACCUCGAUGUUGGAUCAGGACAUCCUAAUGGUGCAGCCGCUAUUAAGGGUUCGUUUGUUCAACG